This is a non-coding RNA of Myotis brandtii (Brandt's bat), 75 nucleotides long. The record is from Rfam. Lineage: Eukaryota; Metazoa; Chordata; Mammalia; Chiroptera; Vespertilionidae.
CUCGGGUUUGGAGGGGUCCCUCAGCCUGGAUUGCGAGAGGGCGCAGGCCAGGUCAAGGGACCCCACCGGUGCAUG